AUUGAACGCUGGCGGCAUGCCUUACACAUGCAAGUCGAACGGCAGCACGGGUUCGUGUGCUUACUGGCGAGUGACGGACGAGUGAUUAAUACAUCCGUACACGUCCGUUGGGGGUGAAUAGGCGGACGAAAUCCUGAUUAAUACCGCAUACUGUCGAUGGAUGAAAGCGACGGACCAGCGAUCUUUGCCCUCGAGCGUUUGGCGAUGGCGGAUUAGGUAGUUGGUGGGGUAAAGGCCUACCAAGGCGACGAUCAGUAGCUGGUCUGAGAGGACGACCAGCCACACUGGGACUGAGACACGGCCCAGACUCCUACGGGAGGCAGCAGUGGGGAAUUUUGGACAAUGGGCGCAAGCCUGAUCCAGCAAUGCCGCGUGCGUGAAGAAGGCCUUCGGGUUGUAAAGCGCUUUUGUACGGAAAGAAAAGCUUGGCGCUAAUACCGUGGGGGGAUGACGGUACCGGAAGAAUAAGCACCGGCUAACUACGUG
Molecule: ribosomal RNA, 486 nt
Filed under: uncultured bacterium
Lineage: Bacteria
Description: partial 16S ribosomal RNA
Rfam family: Bacterial small subunit ribosomal RNA
Source: RNAcentral